Molecule: long non-coding RNA, 1086 nt
Organism: Prinia subflava (tawny-flanked prinia)
Lineage: Eukaryota; Metazoa; Chordata; Aves; Passeriformes; Cisticolidae
Exons: 3
Source: RefSeq, a predicted model, not a curated record
GCAGCUUUUCAAGCAUGAGAGAAAAGUAGGACUGGCUUCAAAAGCAAUGAUUAUUUUAUGGGAAUUACUCCAGCAAGGUGGGGAGGGACCAAGAAAUUCAUUUUUUCAAGAUCGAAAAACACACUCAAGUUUCCUUGGGAUUCAUUUCUCCUACAGAGCUCAAAAAACAAUGAGAGCAACUCUGCAGCUCCAGUUCUGUCACCAAGCUUUUUUCAGAUGAGGGUCUCAAAUAUCUGAGCAGAGAAAGGUUGUUUCACUUUGGAGUGAAAACAAGUGGAAAUGUGGUCUCCUUCCAGAUUUGGAAAUGCUGCUUCAGUGGUGACAGAGCACCUUUAGCAAACCCCUCAGCUGAGCUACAAAAAGAGGCCAGGUUUGUAAGCAGCUUGACCUGUUUCUCAUUUUCAUGCCAAAUUGCUCCUUCACUCCAUCGUCUCCUCCGGGCAGAAAGAGGAGUAUGUGGAGGAGACUGUCAGGCUGAUGGUUCCUGACAGCCCUACAAAGCAUUUCUGCUUUCUAAGGAAAAUAAAGGCCAGCCAGACUGCCUUGUAACCAACAGUCCUGCCUCAGGAGGCUGCCCACCCAAAGCAUGGGGCAGAGCAGAACUCGAUCCAGCAGCCACUUCCCUGGAAUUCAGGCUGAACCAGAGCAGCACUGGAGGGUGGGAGGGAGCUGCAGGAGCUUUGGCAAGCCCCAAGCCUUUCAGUCUGGCUGUGAACAGUGGCACCGAGCCACUCCUUCAGCCCAGCUCCUCAGGCCUGCCCGGACACAGACAGUGAGUGGAUGCAAGGAUGUGCUGCUCAGGGCUGGUCUGAGCCUGUCCUUGGCUCUACUCACAGCUCAAGCAGACUCGGUCACCAAGUGCUGCUAAACCGACUGCCAGCCAUGCUCAGCCACCAUCAAUUAAUGAGAGAGACAAGGCCACCUACACUGUGAUGGCACACCGUGCACUGUAGCUCUAUAUUUACAUGACAUUCACAGGGGGUCAUUCUGAGGGCAUGGACCCCUAGAGAAGCUGACAACACCCAAGAUCAGAAGUGAAGUUAGAAUCACGUGUGUGCAUUCAGGCUGUGGUGAGCGUGAGGAUCU